Molecule: ribosomal RNA, 116 nt
Filed under: Scleropages formosus (Asian bonytongue)
Lineage: Eukaryota; Metazoa; Chordata; Actinopteri; Osteoglossiformes; Osteoglossidae
Source: RNAcentral
ACGGCCGUACGGCCCUGAAUAGGCCUGAUCUCGUCCGCUCUUGGACACUAAGCAGCUUCGGGCUGGGUUAGUGCUUGGAUUCGAGACCGCCUUGGAAUAAAUAGCAGGUGCAGUCU